Poecilia reticulata (guppy) is the source of this 923-nucleotide non-coding RNA. Lineage: Eukaryota; Metazoa; Chordata; Actinopteri; Cyprinodontiformes; Poeciliidae. The record is from RefSeq and is a predicted model, not a curated record.
CCACCCACUUCAUUAUGCUAAGUUUGUUCAGCUGUGGUUUUUACUGCUACGCAAUGGCUGCUGAUGGGAAAGGAAAAAAAUAUUUACAUAACUUGUGUCCAUGCAUCUUUUUUUUCCUCAGAGCUUCGUUUUAUUUUUGUUUACAGUGUCCUUGUGGUAUUACCAAAGAAAGUUGUAGUUUGUGGGAAUAAAUUUAGGAAGGAGUCCUUUGAAAACUACCAACAGCUCAUGACGGGAUUCAGACUUCGACUGAAGGAAGAUUCAGCUCCCACUGUUGGUCACAAAUCUACAAAUUAUGGUGGUGGCAAUUCUCCCAGGAAGCAGGCAAAACUUGACUUGGAAAACAAUGGCUUGUGCAAGGAAGAUGAGACCGAGUGAGAGUUGGAGUUGUUAAGCUUCUCCUGGCGUGACUAAAACUGGAGAAACCUGUGAAACGGCGUCGCUGGUUUCUGGUCGUCUUUUGACAACCAGUGAUCUGGCACAAGAACAUUCAGAUGUUUUGAUAAACUGGGUUAAGGCAGACCAGGACCUUCUUGUGUCAAGACAUGAAAAGAGGAUGCAAUAAAAGAACCAACUCCCAUGGUGGCAGAAAUGUCCUGACAAAUCAAAAAGGCUUACAAAUUAAAUUUGAUGUUUUGGAUAGAGAAUCCAGAGCAGUGAUGAUGACUUGUCAAAAAGUUGUUGAUAGCAUGUUUAUAAAUAAAUUAGAAGUAAAAAUGUUUCAUAGUUUUAUUGGAAAGUGCAUGCAUUGUAGUAAAUUGAUGCUAACAGCAGCUUUGAAUAUUUCCAUUUUCGUUUAAAUGUGUUUUAUUUGAUUAGAUGAAGUGAAUUUUGGAAAAUUUUACAUAUUGACCAGAGUGUGUGCUUAUGAUGCUUCUGUGGAGCCUAAUAUGUAUGUGUUGACAUAAAAGAUCUGGAAUUUA